Molecule: ribosomal RNA, 497 nt
Filed under: uncultured bacterium
Lineage: Bacteria
Description: partial 16S ribosomal RNA
Rfam family: Bacterial small subunit ribosomal RNA
Source: RNAcentral
GAUGAACGCUGGCGGCGUGCCUAAUACAUGCAAGUCGAGCGAACAGACGAGGAGCUUGCUCCUCUGACGUUAGCGGCGGACGGGUGAGUAACACGUGGAUAACCUACCUAUAAGACUGGGAUAACUUCGGGAAACCGGAGCUAAUACCGGAUAAUAUAUUGAACCGCAUGGUUCAAUAGUGAAAGACGGUUUUGCUGUCACUUAUAGAUGGAUCCGCGCCGCAUUAGCUAGUUGGUAAGGUAACGGCUUACCAAGGCGACGAUGCGUAGCCGACCUGAGAGGGUGAUCGGCCACACUGGAACUGAGACACGGUCCAGACUCCUACGGGAGGCAGCAGUAGGGAAUCUUCCGCAAUGGGCGAAAGCCUGACGGAGCAACGCCGCGUGAGUGAAGAAGGUCUUCGGAUCGUAAAACUCUGUUAUUAGGGAAGAGCAAAUGUGUAAGUAACUAUGCACGUCUUGACGGUACCUAAUCAGAAAGCCACGGCUAACUACGUG